Molecule: ribosomal RNA, 442 nt
Filed under: uncultured bacterium
Lineage: Bacteria
Description: partial 16S ribosomal RNA
Rfam family: Bacterial small subunit ribosomal RNA
Source: RNAcentral
CCUACGGGUGGCAGCAGUGGGGAAUAUUGGGCAAUGGGCGCAAGCCUGACCCAGCAAUGCCGCGUGAAGGAAGAAGGCUUUCGGGUUGUAAACCUCUUUGACAGGGGAAGAGCAGAAGACGGUACCCUGAAAACAAGCCACGGCUAACUACGUGCCAGCAGCCGCGGUAAUACGUAGGUGGCACGCGGUGUCCGGAUUUACUGGGUGUAAAGGGCGUGUAGCCGGGAAGGCAAGUCAGAUGUGAAAUCUGGAGGCUCAACCUCCAAAUUGCAUUUGAAACUGUUUAUCUUGAGUACGGGAGAGGCAGGCGGAAUUCCUGGUGUAGCGGUGAAAUGCGUAGAUAUAAGGAGGAACACCAGUGGCGAAGGCGGUCUACUGGACAGCAACUGACGGUGAGGCGCGAAAGCGUGGGGAGCAAACAGGAUUAGAUACCCUUGUAGUC